UACGUAGGGGGCAAGCGUUGUCCGGAUUCAUUGGGCGUAAAGAGCGUGUAGGCGGCCAGGUAGGUCGGUUGUGAAAACUGGAGGCUCAACCUUCAGAGGUCGACCGAAACCAUCUGGCUAGAGUCCGGGAGAGGAAAGUGGAAUUCCUGGUGUAGCGGUGAAAUGCGCAGAUAUCAGGAAGAACACCAAUGGCGAAAGCAGCUUUCUGGGACGGUACUGACGCUGAGACGCGAAAGCGUGGGGAGCGAACAGG
RNAcentral lists this ribosomal RNA (253 nucleotides) under uncultured bacterium. RNAcentral's name for it is "partial 16S ribosomal RNA". It matches the Rfam family "Bacterial small subunit ribosomal RNA", at positions 524 to 776 of the family's 1533-position model. The record is from RNAcentral.